CUGCUGCCUCCCGUAGGAGUUUGGGCCGUGUCUCAGUCCCAAUGUGGCCGUUCACCCUCUCAGGCCGGCUACUGAUCGUCGCCUUGGUGGGCUCCGUCCCGACCAAC
Molecule: ribosomal RNA, 107 nt
Filed under: uncultured bacterium
Lineage: Bacteria
Description: partial 16S ribosomal RNA
Source: RNAcentral